This 263-nucleotide ribosomal RNA is filed under the name uncultured bacterium. Its description in RNAcentral is "partial 16S ribosomal RNA". It matches the Rfam family "Bacterial small subunit ribosomal RNA", at positions 29 to 319 of the family's 1533-position model. The record is from RNAcentral.
AACGAACGCUGGCGGCAUGCCUAACACAUGCAAGUCGAACGAGACCUUCGGGUCUAGUGGCGCACGGGUGCGUAACGCGUGGGAAUCUGCCCUUGGGUCCGGAAUAACUCAGAGAAAUUUGAGCUAAUACCGGAUGAUGACGCAAGUCCAAAGAUUUAUCGCCCAGGGAUGAGCCCGCGUAGGAUUAGCUAGUUGGUGAGGUAAAGGCUCACCAAGGCGACGAUCCUUAGCUGGUCUGAGAGGAUGAUCAGCCACACUGGGAC